This 636-nucleotide ribosomal RNA is filed under the name uncultured bacterium. Its description in RNAcentral is "bacterial SSU rRNA". It matches the Rfam family "Bacterial small subunit ribosomal RNA", at positions 28 to 710 of the family's 1533-position model. The record is from RNAcentral.
AGCGAACGCUGGCGGCAGGCCUAACACAUGCAAGUCGAACGGUUCCUUCGGGGACAGUGGCAGACGGGUGAGUAACGCGUGGGAACGUGCCCUUCGGUUCGGAAUAACUCAGGGAAACUUGAGCUAAUACCGGAUACGUCCGAGAGGAGAAAGAUUUAUCGCCGAAGGAUCGGCCCGCGUCUGAUUAGCUAGUUGGUGUGGUAACGGCGCACCAAGGCGACGAUCAGUAGCUGGUCUGAGAGGAUGAUCAGCCACACUGGGACUGAGACACGGCCCAGACUCCUACGGGAGGCAGCAGUGGGGAAUAUUGGACAAUGGGCGCAAGCCUGGUCCAGCCAUGCCGCGUGAGUGAUGAAGGCCCUAGGGUUGUAAAGCUCUUUUAUCCGGGACGAUAAUGACGGUACCGGAAGAAUAAGCCCCGGCUAACUUCGUGCCAGCAGCCGCGGUAAUACGAAGGGGGCUAGCGUUGCUCGGAAUCACUGGGCGUAAAGGGCGCGUAGGCGGACGUUUAAGUCAGGGGUGAAAUCCCGGGGCUCAACCUCGGAAUUGCCUUUGAUACUGGACGUCUCGAGACCGGAAGAGGUAAGUGGAACUGCGAGUGUAGGGGUGAAAUUCGUAGAUAUUCGCAAGAACACC